GUGCUUGCUUCAGCAGCACGUGUACUAACAUUGGAACGAUACAGAGAAGAUUUGCAUGGCCCCUCCAUGAAGAUGACACAUGAAAUUUUUAUGUGAAAGUGACACAA
Mustela putorius furo (domestic ferret) is the source of this 107-nucleotide small nuclear RNA. Lineage: Eukaryota; Metazoa; Chordata; Mammalia; Carnivora; Mustelidae. The record is from Ensembl.